RNAcentral lists this long non-coding RNA (5999 nucleotides) under Homo sapiens (human). RNAcentral's name for it is "HSALNT0385789". Lineage: Eukaryota; Metazoa; Chordata; Mammalia; Primates; Hominidae. The record is from RNAcentral.
CGGGGACUCGGUGCGGAGCCGGGGCGCCGAGUGUCUCCGUGUCCCUCUGCCCCAGCCGGCGGCCGCGAUGGUGGAGCUUGGCCUCUCGCUCUCUCCCGCCUCUCCAGCGACUGCUCUGCCGGCCGCGGAGGUCGGAUCGAGCGGUCAUUCAUUCAUUUGUUAAUUCGUUCACUUAUUCAGGGGAGAUCAUUGAACCCCUACGGAGUACCGGGUACUGGGCCGGGCGCUGAGGACGCGGGGCUGAGCAAAAGCAGCCGAGGCCCACCUUCGUGCCCCUUAAAACCCAGCGUGCGGGGCGGCAACGAGUACUGCUUUUCUGUUUUGCACUUAAAAUUUACAUUUUGCAUCCGUACUUUUUAUUUACUGUGCACCCUUACGGCAUGCUUUACGCACCCGUACCUGCACCUCCUAGCCUUGAGUGUAGACACCAGAUCCUGAGAUGGGCGAUUUUUCGAGAAUAAUUUUUACCCUAAGUGGAUUUUCGUGCCACGCAUGGACUUGGAACUACACACACGUAGUCCAAAACGUGAAAGUCAAAAUGCAGCUUUGCCAAGUGGCAGGGAGAAAGGAGAGCUGAGAAGAUGAGGAGAGGAAGGGCGCGCUCCAGGCUUUCCAGCCCGGGUGCGGUAGACGUAGCCCUGAAGGAUGAACCCAGGCUGGUAGUAGGGCGGCGGGAGGGCGGGGGGACCUGUCAGUCAAGUCCAAAGCAGAAACGCGGCGCCGGAUCCCAGUCAGAGGCCGGCUGGAACGCUUCCCACAGGCUCCUGGCGCUCCGGUCCCCACCAGGCGACCUUGAUCCUGGCGUGCUCAGCGGAGCCAGCGCAGCGUCGGGAGCUGGAGAGACGCGGGGCGCCGGCUGAGCGCUCCUGCCCUCUGCCUCUGGGCUAGCCUCUGGCCCGGCCUCCCGGCCUCCCCCAGGGUACGCUCUCCCCCAAGAGCGAACACCAGCUUUGGGAUCGCCAGCAGCCACGUCUCUGCUUCUAGAUCUCUUUUUUUUUUCUUUGAGACUUAGUUGAUAGCUGUUUAAGGAAUUAUGUGGAGGAAAUCUCACCUCCGACCCCCGCCCCCGUUGAGCACGGCCGGCCAGGGUCGCUGGGUGGGCCAGGAGGAAAGAAAGGGGCGGGGAAGAAGCAGCAAUUUUACUUUAAAUUAAAAUGACACAAAAAUAUUUUUUCAACUCAGAUCUUUCUGAGACAUCCCCAGAAAGCGUUGCAAGCUGUGAUUACACCUAAUGUGAGAGCAUGAACUAAUUUAAGAGGUGAGAGCUGCAUAAUGAGGCUGCCUCCCGUGUAGCAGCCAAGACUGGCAGCUCUGGCGGCGCGCUGGAGGGGACCGGGAGGGGCACCCUUGUAGAACCAGUCCCUGGCGCCCUGGGAUCUUCUCAGUGCCCUGGCGCUGUGUUGUCGGUCACUCCACAGAUAUUACAGGGUGCCUCCUGAAUGCCGGGUUGCAAUCAAGAGCAAGAGAUGGGGCGAGUGAAAGAGCCUGUUUUCAGGAGCUCAGCAUCAGGAUGACGAUUACCUAGAGGGAGGUGGUGGCCAGCCUCCCCCUCUUCUCUUCAUGCUGAGGCUCUGGUGGGCAGUGCCCAAGCCUGAACUGCCAUCUGUAUGCCAGUGGUUACCCAACUUGUAUUUUCAGUCUUAGCCUCUCUCUGGUCCAGACUUGUCAUUCUAAGGGCCCUUUUUCACUGACUCACAUUGUCUCCUCCCUCCCUGCCUUCCAAACUCAGCCUUUUCCUUUUUCCCUUUCCCACUGACAACAGCUGCACGACCCCCCCGCCCCCCCACGAGGUGAAAAUUCCCAAGAACCCCAUGUCUAACCUAACUCCCUCUCUAUGUCCUGUUGCUUGAGCCAUUCUCAUUAGGCUGCCUGUUCGGAGUUCAUUAUCUCCUAAUUUUUCAUCCAGGAAUUGAUGAAGAAUCACCUACUGCCUCUCCCACACACUGUUUAUUCUUUCAUUUGAUGAUAUCUGUUAAGUGCCCUGAGAUAUGUAACCUCCACUUCCCUCCCAUAUAAGUGAGAUUUCACGUUGAUUACUUCCUUGGCUUUCCUCAUCCCUUAUCCACAUAGCAUGUGUUCAAAAUAAUGAAUAUUAAUUUAAUGUUAAUAGAUAUGUGCUUUCCUGAAUUGUGAGGAUUAAAUGAAAUCAUGUAUAUAGGGAGGAAAAUCCAUUAGAAACCUCAAAAGCAGUUAUGUUUAUUUUUGCUAUUGUCACAUUGUUAGAGUCAGAAUUCUUUUAGCUGCAAGUGACAAAACCAACUCAAACUGGCUUAAGGACUUUAUUGGUUGAUGCAAAAAGCCUCGGGUUAGGUCUUGCCAUUUAAGGUAGGGCUGGAUCCAUCAAUCCGGGUUACCAGGAUCUGUUUUCUAGUUGUGGCUUCAUUUUCAGACAAGUUGUUUCCAUAUGAUAGCCUCAUAGAAGGUACUACCAGCUUAGUCCUAGCAAGAAAAAAGAGUACUUACUCUUCAAUAUUUGCAGCAGAAGUCCCAGGUCUGUUCUUAUGAGGGCAGUUUGAGUCACUUGCUCUUCUCUGAACGUGGAGAAGGCACUGUUUAGAUGAUGGAGGUUGGAUUCAGGUGCAUCCCCUGGAAUGGGGUUUGGCAUUAGCUUCACGUGGUCUAGAAUAAAGGGGUUCUCCAAAGGAAAAUUAGGGUAGGAAUGCUGAGUAAGCAGAACAAACAGAUGUCUACUUUAGUCCUUCCCAAAGGGUGAGCUGCAAUACAUUGCAGACUAUCAGAAUGGUGAUGAACACGGAUGCAGUAGCCAAGAAAAUAGAUGUGUGUUUGUCGUGGUCUUUUUCAGUCUUCAAGAUCUCAGUUAAACAUGAAGUCAACCACUCACUAUGAUGUUAUUUGAGGUUUAGCUUUGAAGUGGAAAUGUACCACAAAUAGUAGAGCCAGAUAAAUACAAAUAAAUAAUUUUAACAGUCCAUUCUAAAAGAUUUCUUUGGUAAUAUUCUGUUGGAAUUGAUUUCUAUCUUUUCAUUUGUUAGGUUCCUGGAAAGUGAAAAUUUCAUUUCUUUGUGGACAGGUACCUAAAAUGUCUCAUUAUUCAUCAAUUAAUGAAAAACAAAUGAAAAUUUGAGAGAGAUAUUCUGAAGAAUAAAAGGAUCAAGUUGGGUCAUUUCUAAAAUGUAAGAUUAUAAGGUUUAACUUGCUAAGACUUUUGAGGGGUUGAAUUAUUGGUAAAUUAUUAUAGAACCACUUAUCUGAGGCUUUUAAAAGUGAUGUGUUACAGAGAUUUAGGGAACUGCAAGAUUGCAGAUAAAGAAUUUAUACUGUCAACUGUUCUAUACUUUACCUUCUGCUUUAAAUGCGGCCUUAUAUUUUGAAGUCAAACAUUUAUUUUCUCUCACUGCGUUCUGAAUUUCCUACCACAGUGCAUUUUGAGAAAUGAAUAUAACAGCAGUCUUCAUAGAUGCCAUAUUCAUGGCAACUCUGUCCCCCGCCAACACCACACCCUGGAAAAAAACCAACUUUCUAUUGUUGGAAUGAGGUAACAUUUUCAGGAAAAGGGAACCAUUUUCUCACAGGAUAUAGAACAAAUUCAACCUUUUAUUAAAUCAAAAUGGAUUCUCUAAUGUUUAUACAUAUCAUAUAGGAUUUCAUCUCUUUCAAUCUUGGUUCAAAGGCCCAGACAGUACCAUUCCCUAGUAUUUAGUCCAUUUGCUCAUAAAGCAGAAGAGAAAAGCUACUUUGUUCCGAAGGGUGUUAGAUUUAGGAUUCCAAGGUUAUUUCAAAUUAAUGCCUGGAACUAGACUAUAAAAUGCAGGAAAGAUUCUAAGUUGUUCAAAGAUGAAAUAUCUUAACUUUCACCAAAAACUCUGUCUUCUGGGUAUUUUUUGUUUUUCUGCCUUUCCAGAUUUAUUUUAAAUACAACAUUUUUGCUGUUUACAUUUUUAAAAGUUACAUUUCAAAAUUGUUCAUAAUUGGACACUUUCAUAAAAUGUAGGCAAAUGCAGUUUUACUUUUUAAUGAAGGACAAGUCUGUUGAUAACAUUUUGAUUCUUAAAAUUUUUUUUAUCUUAUAAAAAUGAAACAAUGCAUUUAAAGUGUCUUCAGCUCUUAUGUUAAUACCAAAUUAUACAUUUUCUUAGCCCAUGUUCAGGAGAGACAAUAUAUCUUCCAAAUUAAGAGAAGCUGGCACCAUUUUUAAAACAAGGCCUUGAAUCUGCUGUGGUAUGUGCUGGUAGGAAUUUUGUAUGAAGCUGUUAUUGAAGUAGAUGACAUUAAGGUCAAAGGAAAAAAAAAACAGAAAAUAAUGUAAUCCUACAGAGCUGCUCUUAAGAUCUUGAGAGAAAAACCACGUAGGUAACAUCAAACACUAGUUGGAAUCUUUCCAAGAAGUAAUUAUCUGUGUGCUGUUUGUGGUGGUUGAUUAUGGGAACAAACCAAGGUUUAGCCAAUUCAGCAAACAUUUAUGGAGUGCCUGCAAUGUGCAUGUCACUGUUUUAAGGCCUGUGCCUACUGUAAAGGUGACCCACACAUGAUGCCUGCCUUGCAGGACUUGGAGUUCAGCGAUAAUAAGAGAUGCAUACCUGAAAAGCCUAUUUAAGACUCUUCCGGUUCUACAAAGAAGGCUUCUUGAAAGUGGUAGCUUUGAUUACUCUUUGGAUUUAUUUACAUUUAUCCUAUAAUCAGAAGGUAUACAAAACAGACUCACACAUAUAUAAAAUUAAUAGAUUAGAUAGCAUUUAAACAAAUAUUUCAGGUAGGUACUUCAAAUGCAUUUGACAUUUAUCAAAGAAAUGGUAAGUGCUGUCAUCCGUGGGUGGCUGGAUUAACAUGUGGGACUACUUAUCACCAAUUUUGUUAGGGAUCUUAGGGAAAUUCCUGGAUCUUAUAUUCACAAGCAAUUGUAUAAAUACUUCCCACAGCUCAGAGACCUAAUAGGAUGGGGUCUUAGAGAAACAUCUUUUGAGCCACAGACUUCUUUGUUACCAGAAGGAAAAUGAAAGAAGAAAUUUAAAUACCACUUGAAGAGAGCUGAUCGCCACCAACUGGCCUCUGGGUGGAUUUGGCCAAUGGAAGCACCUGUAGAGGGAAGAGAGUGAGGUUAGGAUAUUUCUUCCUGCUGUCUCCGUGCUUCCCUGCAGAGAGUGUGAAGAAAUGACCCUGAAAAGCCUCUGGCAGAGGAUUCUUCUUUCAGGAUGGUGUCGCCUCCUCAGCAGCCCAUCCUCCUCCCCUGGACUCAAGCUCUCAUUCCAGUAACACUCCUUCCUCCUUCUCCAUCUUCAGGGGGAGGUUUGCCAGUCGGUGCUGCCCAGUUCAUGAGUGCUGCUGCUGUCCUGCCCAAGUACCCAGCUUGCAGAGUGCCAGAGUUAGAGUCCCAGGGGUGUUCUCCACAGCUGCAUGCUUGAUCCAGGCCUAUCAGAUAUAUUCCAUUGAAAGUCCUCAUUCUCAAAUUUAAAACAAAGACUUUUUGUGUACCUCAAUAGCAAUGCACACACAGUUGGCUUCACAAACAUAUUGUACAUUUCUUUUUUUCAUAUUUAUUCAACAAAUGUAUAUUGACUACCCACCGUGUGACAGGUGUUAUUUGUUGACGGAACCAGGCAUCAUCAGCAAACAAAACUGACAAAGCUUCCUGCCCUCUGUGGAAGGCAUCUGAGGAAGAGACUGGAUUUUGUAGCAACAUGUUAUUCUCAUUAUAAACUUUAUCAUUGGAAUACUAAAGCCAAAUCAUCCCCCAUCUCCUUGAUCAGGAUACCCACUUAAUCUAGGCAGCUACACAAUUGUGAGAGCCUUUGUUUUUUUCUGCUGAAACAUCCUUAAAAAGAUACCUCACAACCCAAGAUUUGGCUUUUCUUAAAUACGAUUUUUAAUUUUUUUCAUUUCUAUCUAGAGAUUUAAUUGGAAAUGGAAAAUCAUCAAUUUUCCAAUUAAAUGUCUGUUCCAAUCAACAUUAUACCUUUUAGGUUGUCAUUGUCAUUUUUAAGUUUAAGCAACUUUAAGGAUUUUGAAUCUGGCUGCCUGUAAAUUAAAGGUGAAAGUAAUCA